This 339-nucleotide small nuclear RNA is filed under the name Peromyscus maniculatus bairdii (prairie deer mouse). RNAcentral describes it as "7SK RNA (ENSPEMG00000003836.2)". It matches the Rfam family "7SK RNA". Rfam says of the family: 7SK was discovered as an abundant small nuclear RNA in the mid-70s but a possible function has only recently been suggested. Two independent studies have found that 7SK RNA binds the CDK9/cyclin T complex (known as elongation factor P-TEFb). The record is from RNAcentral. Lineage: Eukaryota; Metazoa; Chordata; Mammalia; Rodentia; Cricetidae.
GAACUCGAGAGCCAUCUGGCUGUGACAUCUGUCACUCCAAUAUUACUGGGUGGUUCAGCUGAUCUGGCUCCUUAGGCUGGUGUCCCCUUCCUUCUUCACUGUCACAUAUGUGUCUCCUUUAAAGCUGUGCACUCUAUAGAGAGGUGGAGGAGGAUGACUAUGCCGAAGGAUGGCCUUCCCAGACAGGAGGAGGACUGGUAUUCAGUCAAGGGCAUAUAAGUAACUGUAAUCCCAAGCUAGAACCUCCAAAUAAGUUCUCAAAUUCCAAAUAUGGUUACAAAAUUCAGGUCUUAUUUGAAGUAGAUUUGUUUUCUUGAUUACAUCAUUAUAUAAGUCAAU